UAGGGAAUAUUGGGCAAUGGGCGCAAGCCUGACCCAGCCAUGCCGCGUGGGCGAAGAAGGUCCUUUGGAUUGUAAAGCCCUUUUAUCCGGGAAUAAUGCUCCGCACGGCGGAGAGUGAAGGUACCGGAGGAAUCAGCACCGGCAAACUACGUGCCAGCAGCCGCGGUAAUACGGAGGAUGCAAGCGUUAUCCGGAAUUAUUGGGCGUAAAGCGUCCGUAGGUGGUUGUUCAAGUCUGCUGUUAAAGCGU
RNAcentral lists this ribosomal RNA (249 nucleotides) under uncultured organism. Its description in RNAcentral is "partial 16S ribosomal RNA". It matches the Rfam family "Bacterial small subunit ribosomal RNA", at positions 355 to 603 of the family's 1533-position model. The record is from RNAcentral.